GCAUGGGUUUGAAUUUUUGGCACAUCUCUCCCUCUGGGCCUUUCAUAGUGCCCCAUAUUAGAACAAGCUGCAGCCUCAAACCAUUGCCUGGUCCUUGCCAGUGGGCUGUAGGAACUAAUGCAGAUUGCACUAUA
Small nucleolar RNA from Sorex araneus (European shrew), 134 nucleotides. NCBI's taxonomy places the organism in Eukaryota, Metazoa, Chordata, Mammalia, Eulipotyphla, Soricidae. The record is from Ensembl.